CCGGCUCGGCGCGUCGCCUACGAACGAGCGGACCGAGUAACCUGUCCUUGGAUAUCUCCGCUAUCUUUCUGAACGCACCUCUACCGAACGGCGUCAUGAAAGUGACCGCUGUGCUGUGCACGCUGUUAGGUAAACAACAACAUUCUGGUUUAUCGCUGAUGUAGAUCGGGUGUAACUCAAAAUAGAAAAAAAAAAGAUGUCAGAGCAAGAAGAACGCAAAUGAAGGUAUCAUGCACUAAGAAGGAAAAUGAUCGUAUAUAAACAGUGCUGUAAAUAAACGAUGUGAAAUUGA
Molecule: long non-coding RNA, 292 nt
Organism: Rhipicephalus microplus (southern cattle tick)
Lineage: Eukaryota; Metazoa; Arthropoda; Arachnida; Ixodida; Ixodidae
Source: RefSeq, a predicted model, not a curated record